UUAUACCUAUUACUGUCAAACGGUAGAUGUCUCCUUAUAACACUGACAAGUCUCAUAUACCAUACCACAUAGAAACAGUAGAAGUCUCCUAAUAAAACCUAACAAGUCUCAUAUACCGUACCACAAAGAACAGUAGAUGUGUCCUUAUAGACAAUAACUAGUCUCAUAUACCAUACCACAUUGAACAGUAGAUGUCUCAUUAUAGACAAUAACUAGUCUCAUGUAUCAUACCACAUUUAUCUAUACUGAGAGUAGAAAAGGAAAUGUUGAAUGGAACCCUUAUCCUGCCAUACUGGAUACUUGAUAUCAUACGCAAAACUUUAUAAUAACUAUUCUAAUUUUAUUAACAAACUAAUAUACUAAGACACCAUUGUAUACACAGUAUACUAGUAUCAUAUUCACAAUCAAUUCUAAAUCUAUUAUACUGAAUACAUAUGAAAAUAAUAAUAAAUGUAUCAUUUGGCUUUCUAGGGGGCUACUCAUUAAAACUUACAAUAAUACUAAUUAAAAUAACCAAAUCAAAAACACUACCUACUCAACACAAUUUAAAAUUAAUUAAAAAAUAAAUUGCCUAUAUUAUGCAAUUUUAAGAACCUGCAGUAGAGCCCUGACAGGUGAAAAAUUUAUUUUAAUACCUGACUGGUAGAACCCAGACAGGUAUAAAUUUGAAAAAUGAGAAUACCUGCAGUAGAUCCCAACAGAUACUUUUAGAACCUGAGUGGUAGAGCCCAGACAAGUAUGAAUUUUGAAAACUGAGAAUUCCUGUGGUAGAUCCCAACAGGUACUUUUAGAACCUGAGUGGUAGAGCCCAGACAAGUAUGAAUUUUGAAAACUGAGAAUUCCUGUGGUAGAUCCCAACAGGUACUUUUAGAACCUGAGUGGUAGAGCCCAGACAAGUAUGAAUUUUGAAAACUGAGAAUUCCUGCGGUAGAUCCCAACAGGUACUUUUAGAACCUGAGUGGUAGAGCCCAGACAAGUAUGAAUUUUGAAAACUGAGAAUUCCUGUGGUAGAUCCCAACAGGUACUUUUAGAACCUGAGUGGUAGAGCCCAGACAAGUAUGAAUUUUGAAAACUGAGAAUUCC
This is a long non-coding RNA of Mytilus californianus (California mussel), 1083 nucleotides long. RefSeq lists it as uncharacterized. Lineage: Eukaryota; Metazoa; Mollusca; Bivalvia; Mytilida; Mytilidae. The transcript has 3 exons. The record is from RefSeq and is a predicted model, not a curated record.